Long non-coding RNA from Sarcophilus harrisii (Tasmanian devil), 2434 nucleotides. Lineage: Eukaryota; Metazoa; Chordata; Mammalia; Dasyuromorphia; Dasyuridae. The record is from Ensembl.
GUGGACUGUAAGGUUGUUUUUUGUUUGUUUUUGUUUUUGUUUUUUACAAAAUGACGAGAAUGAAGUCUAUUGGAAAAAGUUUAUUUUACAAAUCUUUAUAGGUCAUUGUUCAAAGUUUGCACUUGGUAUUCCAGAUUUCACUGUUCACUGAUAAAGCUACAGUACAUGAGAUACACAAUGCUAGGUUCUGUUGGUUUCAGAGCCCCCGGCAAUGAUCUGAACAUCUGGCAAAGACAAUACCUAUAUUGCAUUUAAUAGCAGUUUCUUAAUCUAAAAAGCAACUUUACAUGCAAUCUAUUGAGGAAGCCUAAAAUAACUUUUGGUCCCUUUUAUUUUUUAAAACUGUGCUGGAGAAACCAUUUUUACUUCCUAUUUCCCCUAUUCCUGUCAUCCUAAGGUAAUUCAAGUCAAAUUUGCUGCUGAGGUCAAUGAGAAUGAAUACUGUGUAUAUAUGUAUGUGUGUGCACGUAUACACACACAUACACAUAUACACACACACACACACACACACACACACACACCCCUGUAUAAAAUGUUGCUUUUUUUAGAGAGAAAGAGAGAGGAGGAAGAAAGGGAUAAAAAACAAAUGGAAGGACAGGAGAAAAUGGGUGAGACAGGGAAGGGAAGAGACAAGGAGGAAGGAGAGGAGGAGAAAAAGGCAAAGGAAGGAAAUAGGGAGGGGGAAGGAGAGGAAGAAGAAGUAGGGAAAGGGAAGGGGAGGGAAGAAGAAGGAGAGGGUGGGAGAGAGGGGGAGGAGGAAAAGUGGGGAGGAAGGGAAAGAAAGGGGGAAGGAGAGAGGGAGAAAGAGGGAAGGAGAGGAAGAGAGAAGGGGAGAAGGAGGGAAUGAGAGAGUGAGAGCGAGAGCGAGAACGAGAGCAAGAGCGAAAGAGAGAAGGAGGAGGAAGAAGGAGGGGGGAAGGAAGAAGGGGGGAAAGAAAACUACCCAGAAGAAAGAACCCACAAUUUUCAGAAAACUAAAAUCUUCAUGAAUUAUUUGAAUCUCCUAUUGUUUAGUAGAGCUAAUAAAGAUUGACCACCACCAUCUAAUCUACUUUGAAUACAGUGUUUGGUUUUAAGUGUGAUAUUAAAGUGCAAACCGAAAUGAUCAGGUUUCAAGCAGUUUAUAAAUAGGGAAAAGUAUUCCAAUCAUCCCUAGCCCUCCGUUCUCACCAUAAAAUUAUAUAUCUAAGACGAGAAAAUUUAACUUUAGAGAAUUUCAUGGGGAACUAAAUAAAGUCCACCAACCAUGGAGAAUCAAACAGUUCAAUCAGAAUUUUUGUUCCAGAAAAAUCGGUCACAAAGACCACUGAUGGCAAUGUAGUAGGCCCUGGUGAUACCUGCUGAUGUACUUGAAUAUCGCACACAAUGAAAUGCUAAAUUGCCCCACCUCCCCAGACCAUCACUGCAUAUACUAGAGCCUUCUUGGCCAAAGGUCUUUAGCUAUUACAAGUCAAAAGAGUCCUUUUGGUUUUCUUUUCAUUAGAAGCAUGUUCAAAUGACUAAAGCUGGGCCCCUAAGAUCUACAACUUUGGUGCAGUAGGUGAGCUGCAGUUCAUCACUUCUGUAAAACAUACGCGCACACGCCCACACACACAGGCACACACAAAACUAAACCGAAGAUAAAGCAAAAUAUUGGAAAACUUACAAAACUUUAAACCACUGCUAGAAAAAGCUCGCUUGUACACAUGUUAAAACGGAAGAAAAAGCAUCAUUUAUUCUUUACACAUUUUUUUUUCUGUUUUAAUACCUGUGUUACUGUUAAAAUGUUCAAGUAUUCAGACAAAAUGUGUUGAUCAGGUAAACAACAGGGAAGUCAAUGGCUGUUCAGAGCGCAUUUGCAAUUCAGAGCACUGGAAAAAAUGGGUGCUUUCCCCCCUUACCUUACACUGAUUUUUGUCUCUGUUGCUAACCUGUUUACUGGGAAAUAACAAAAAAAGCAAUUGUGACAGUGCAAGAAGAUGUUAACAAAUAUUGCUUUACAACAUUGUUCAGAAAGACAAAUAUUAACUAUAAAAUGUAAAAUCAUUUUAUUUGCAUUCACUUUACAUGUGCAGAAACUGACUAGAUGUAAAUUACUAACCUGCCAGGCAAAGCUGAGAUAUUUGAGUGCAGGUAUCCGAAAUUCAUUUACCUAGAAUACAAUAUCCCUUUUCAAAGGCAUUGUUAAAAGUAGGUCAUAACUAAAUUUAGAACUUCGCAGAAAGGAAAAUGCUUCAGCUGCAAGUCACUGUUGCAAAGGACAUUAACAAAAUCAUGAAAACCCCAUUCAACUAAAUAUCACGGUCAAUUUCAAAUCGCAAUUUCCACUUUCUGAACAUGUCAAUUACAAUACCCUAUCACAGGCUGCAUCCGAUGAGAAAAGGGAUAUUACAUCCAUACAGGUAAGAUGGGAUCUUGAGUUUCUCACAACACUGUCACACGUAAACAUAAAGUC